This 465-nucleotide ribosomal RNA is filed under the name uncultured bacterium. Its description in RNAcentral is "bacterial SSU rRNA". It matches the Rfam family "Bacterial small subunit ribosomal RNA", at positions 29 to 506 of the family's 1533-position model. The record is from RNAcentral.
ACGAACGCUGGCGGCGUGCUUAACACAUGCAAGUCGAACGGAAAGGCUCCAGCUUGCUGGAGUACUCGAGUGGCGAACGGGUGAGUAACACGUGGGUAAUCUGCCCUGCACUCUGGGAUAAGCCUGGGAAACUGGGUCUAAUACUGGAUAUGACCUUUCUCCUUAUGGGGUUUGGUGGAAAGUUUUUCGGUGUAGGAUGAGCCCGCGGCCUAUCAGCUUGUUGGUGGGGUGAUGGCCUACCAAGGCGACGACGGGUAGCCGGCCUGAGAGGGUGAUCGGCCACAUUGGGACUGAGAUACGGCCCAGACUCCUACGGGAGGCAGCAGUGGGGAAUAUUGCACAAUGGGCGGAAGCCUGAUGCAGCGACGCCGCGUGAGGGAUGACGGCCUUCGGGUUGUAAACCUCUUUCAGCAGGGACGAAGCGUAAGUGACGGUACCUGCAGAAGAAGCACCGGCUAACUACGU